ACGGAAGGCAGCAGUGGGGAAUAUUGGGCAAUGGGCGCAAGCCUGACCCAGCAAUGCCGCGUGAAGGAAGAAGGCUUUCGGGUUGUAAACUUCUUUUAAGUGGGACGAUAAUGACGGUACCACUUGAAUAAGCUCCGGCUAACUACGUGCCAGCAGCCGCGGUAAUACGUAGGGAGCAAGCGUUAUCCGGAUUUACUGGGUGUAAAGGGCGUGUAGGCGGGACUGCAAGUCAGAUGUGAAAGCACGGGGCUUAACUCCGUGUCUGCAUUUGAAACUGUAGUUCUUGAGUGCUGGAGAGGCUAACGGAAUUCCUAGUGUAGCGGUGAAAUGCGUAGAUAUUAGGAGGAACACCAGUGGCGAAGGCGGUUAGCUGGACAGUAACUGACGCUGAGGCGCGAAAGCGUGGGUAGCAAACAGGAUUAGAUACCCUGGUA
This 434-nucleotide ribosomal RNA is filed under the name uncultured Oscillospiraceae bacterium. RNAcentral describes it as "bacterial SSU rRNA". It matches the Rfam family "Bacterial small subunit ribosomal RNA", at positions 341 to 792 of the family's 1533-position model. Lineage: Bacteria; Bacillati; Bacillota; Clostridia; Eubacteriales; Oscillospiraceae. The record is from RNAcentral.